This 497-nucleotide ribosomal RNA is filed under the name uncultured bacterium. RNAcentral's name for it is "partial 16S ribosomal RNA". It matches the Rfam family "Bacterial small subunit ribosomal RNA", at positions 28 to 507 of the family's 1533-position model. The record is from RNAcentral.
GAUGAACGCUGGCGGCGUGCCUAAUACAUGCGAGUCGAGCGAACAGACGAGGAGCUUGCUCCUCUGACGUUAGCGGCGGACGGGUGAGUAACACGUGGAUAACCUACCUAUAAGACUGGGAUAAAUUCGGGAAACCGGAGCUAAUACCGGAUAAUAUAUUGAACCGCAUGGUUCAAUAGUGAAAGACGGUUUUGCUGUCACUUAUAGAUGGAUCCGCGCCGCAUUAGCUAGUUGGUAAGGUAACGGCUUACCAAGGCAACGAUGCGUAGCCGACCUGAGAGGGUGAUCGGCCACACUGGAACUGAGACACGGUCCAGACUCCUACGGGAGGCAGCAGUAGGGAAUCUUCCGCAAUGGGCGAAAGCUUGACGGAGCAACGCCGCGUGAGUGAUGAAGGUCUUCGGAUCGUAAAACUCUGUUAUUAGGGAAGAACAAAUGUGUAAGUAACUAUGCACGUCUUGACGGUACCUAAUCAGAAAGCCACGGCUAACUACGUG